UGCUCCUCUUCCAUUUGAAGUUGUUGUUUCUGCUGGACAAAAGGCUAAAGAGGAAGCAUGGCAUAGAGGCUAGUUCAAUUUCUGACCAUAUCCCAUUUACUCCCUUCCUCCUUUUUCCUUUUUUGAUCAUUAAGUUUAUAGAAAUGAUACAGGCGGUGGUGAUCCAGACAGGAGUAAAGUUGCCCGAGAUCUAAAUGAUCUGACAGGAGAAGGAAAUAUUGAGAGCAUGCUUUCAGUUGAAAUGGGCCUAAGGGAAUUAGCAUCAUUAAAGGUUGAAGAUGCUGUUAUACAAGCAUUGGGCAGACAGAGACGGCUGAGUUUGCAUCAUCGAUCUGUCUCAGAUUUGAAAUCACCUAGUGAACU
This is a long non-coding RNA of Hibiscus syriacus, 363 nucleotides long. RefSeq lists it as uncharacterized. The record is from RefSeq and is a predicted model, not a curated record. Lineage: Eukaryota; Viridiplantae; Streptophyta; Magnoliopsida; Malvales; Malvaceae. The transcript is spliced from 3 exons.